GAUGAAGAACGUAGCGAAAUGCGAUAAGUAAUGUGAAUUGCAGAAUUCAGUGAAUCAUCGAAUCUUUGAACGCACAUUGCGCCCCCUGGUAUUCCGGGGGGCAUGGCUGUCCGAGCGUCAUUACAACCCUCAAGCUCAGCUUGGUGUUGGGCCCCGCCGCCCCGGCGGGCCCUAAAGUCAGUGGCGGUGCCGUCCGGCUCCGAGCGUAGUAAUUCUUCUCGCUCUGGAGGUCCGGUCGUGUGCUCGCCAGCAACCCCCAAUUUUUUUCAGGUUGACCUCGGAUCAGGUAGGGAUACCCGCUGAACUUAAGCAUAUCAAUAAGCGGAGGA
RNAcentral lists this unclassified non-coding RNA (329 nucleotides) under soil metagenome. Its description in RNAcentral is "partial contains 5.8S ribosomal RNA, internal transcribed spacer 2, and large subunit ribosomal RNA". The stretch from base 1 to 120 matches the Rfam family "5.8S ribosomal RNA", at positions 35 to 154 of the family's 154-position model. The record is from RNAcentral.